CCUACGGGGGGCUGCAGUGAGGAAUAUUGCGCAAUGGGGGAAACCCUGACGCAGCGACGCCGCGUGAGUGAGGAAGGCCUUCGGGUCGUAAAGCUCUGUCAAGAGGAAAGAAGUGUACAAUGGCUAAUACCUGUUGUAUUUGACGGUACCUCUAAAGGAAGCACCGGCUAACUCCGUGCCAGCAGCCGCGGUAAUACGGAGGGUGCAAGCGUUGUUCGGAAUCACUGGGCGUAAAGGGCGCGUAGGCGGCUUGGUGAGUCAGAUGUGAAAGCCCACGGCUUAACUGUGGAAGUGCAUUUGAAACUGUCAGGCUUGAGUACCAGAGGGGAAAGUGGAAUUCCCGGUGUAGAGGUGAAAUUCGUAGAUAUCGGGAGGAAUACCGGUGGCGAAGGCGGCUUACUGGGCCGGAACUGACGCUGAGACACGAAAGCGUGGGGAGCAAACAGGAUUAGAUACCCCGGUAGUC
RNAcentral lists this ribosomal RNA (466 nucleotides) under uncultured Desulfobulbus sp. RNAcentral's name for it is "bacterial SSU rRNA". It matches the Rfam family "Bacterial small subunit ribosomal RNA", at positions 338 to 795 of the family's 1533-position model. Lineage: Bacteria; Pseudomonadati; Thermodesulfobacteriota; Desulfobulbia; Desulfobulbales; Desulfobulbaceae. The record is from RNAcentral.